Dermacentor albipictus is the source of this 535-nucleotide non-coding RNA. The record is from RefSeq and is a predicted model, not a curated record. Lineage: Eukaryota; Metazoa; Arthropoda; Arachnida; Ixodida; Ixodidae.
CUUUUCACUCCACGCUGCAACCUGUAGGAAGGCACGCAGUGCGCGAGUUAUCUUUUCUUGGAAACGUACAGGUGAGCCAAAGGCCGAGAAAGCGAUGCAAGGAAAGCACCUGUUAAUGUACUUUGUGCUCGUAGUGGACGCCGCCUCAAGAAAUACGCGUUACUUUUCAUGUCAAGGACGGGAAAUGCAGUGCCCGAAUGACCGGAGACCUAACUGCCUCCUAAAAAAUGGGCAACCAUACUUCCAGUGUUCCUUGAAGAAUAGACCGUGUGAAGAUGCGUGGUAUAGAGCAUGCGCACAAUUUACUGUCUUCAUUUGUGGCGAUCGGCGAACAUACUGUGAGUGCCGCUGCGAGGUUUCGCCCAAGAAGAGUGUCCAUGGUAAACCAAAAAAUGCUCGCCUUCAACAACGUUUAUGAUAUCGAAGAAACUUAUGUCUCCUCAGCUAUUUCGUGGUGCCCCCUGUGCAUGCUGUUCAGGAGUUCCAUAAGGGCUUCUGCUUGUUUCAUCGAGCAAUAAAGGUCUGUUUACCGUCA